Molecule: ribosomal RNA, 301 nt
Filed under: uncultured bacterium
Lineage: Bacteria
Description: partial 16S ribosomal RNA
Rfam family: Bacterial small subunit ribosomal RNA
Source: RNAcentral
CAGUAGCCGCGGUAAUACGAAGGGUGCAAGCGUUAAUCGGAAUUACUGGGCGUAAAGCGUGCGUAGGCGGUUUGUUAAGUCUGUUGUGAAAUCCCCGGGCUCAACCUGGGAAUGGCAAUGGAUACUGGCAAGCUAGAGUGUGUCAGAGGAUGGUGGAAUUCCCGGUGUAGCGGUGAAAUGCGUAGAGGUCGGGAGGAACAUCAGUGGCGAAGGCGGCCAUCUGGGACAACACUGACGCUGAGGCACGAAAGCGUGGGGGGCAAACAGGAUUAGAUACCCCCGUAGUCCCUGUCUCUUAACA